CUUUUAGAAAUUAAAUAUGGAGGAUGCGUUUCCAGCAUCAAUUAUUUCAGCUGCAGGAAAAAGAGAACCGGAGCAGAGGUGAUGGGAGAGGCUGAGCUGAGCGGGGCGGAGGAGCGUCCGCUUUGUGCAGUGGGUCCCAGCUCUCUAUCGGAUUCGAGUCUCUGUAGGAGAUUCCCCCGACUAUCACCUACACUCCUGUGACUUUAGGAAAAAAAUUCUGCCUCUGGGACAAAGGUCAGUGAGCUGACUUCCUUGAAGGUGCACUGCUGGUUGCAUUAGUGCCUGGAGGCAGCAAAGUAUAAUGGGUCAGAGCAGGGCUUCUUGCUGUGUGAUCUGGGGCAGGUGAGUUGACGUUUCUGUGCCUUUUUCCUCCUCUGUAAAAUGGCACCUGCCCCACUGGGCUGCAGUAAGGAGACACAGAGCGAACAGGUAUAAAAUGCUUAGAACAGCCCUCUGAGACAUGGUGAUCGAGGCAUAAAAAUGUUGGCCAAUAUUGCAAAAUGAGUGGGUAACACCCCUCCCCCAGCCCCAGUUGGGAGGGACGGACCUUUGGGGGAAAGUCAUUACUGAAAGAACAGAGUUUUCUUUCAUGUGUUUUGAAAAUGGAAUCCUUCACAGAAGACAGCGCUUCUGCAGAGUAAAAAUGCCAGUGAAAAAGAGAAAAUGCUGACUUCUCCCAGCCUCUGGCACCGAGGAGGAGGGACUCUUCAAGCCAAAGGGACUUUUAGCUGAGUUAUAAAGCAGUAUUCCUGGUGAACGCUACCCUCUGUCCUUCUCCCUGGGAUUGUAAAACUCUGUAACAGAAUGUUCAAAGUCUCCUAGGUAUUUUACAAAAAUCACCGGAGAAAGACUGCCCCCGCAUCAUCAAUUUUUAACCAGUGCUCCCUGGGCAUAUUCUAAAUAAGGGCUAUCUAAAGAACACGUUGCUGGUUUGUUUUCUACUGGUGUUAGCAAGAAAAUCCAUUGUGUGAAUUACAUCGUAUGAGUGACACAAAAAAAACGCUAAGAUAGUUUUUAAAAAUAAUUUUUCCCUCGGUAACCAAAAAAAAAAAACCAUUGUAAACAAAUGUGAAAAAUAAAUACACAUACACAGAGAAAAAUAAAAAGUAC
This 1110-nucleotide long non-coding RNA is filed under the name Sus scrofa (pig). Its description in RNAcentral is "lncRNA (ENSSSCG00070018201.1)". Lineage: Eukaryota; Metazoa; Chordata; Mammalia; Artiodactyla; Suidae. The record is from RNAcentral.